AAGUGUUUUAGAAUUAGAUUUUUUACGUGUGAAUAACAUGGGGGUAGGCAACUUCGAAAUCUUUUCAAUGUCCAUUGGGGAUAAAAAGGAAACCUGACUAUGGAGAGAAUUAAUAAACUAAAUUAUAUUUAGAUACUAUAAAACUAUAGUAUUAUUCUUUUCUAAUUUGUGGUACCGAGAAACUGAACGUUCCAGCCCUCGCGGCAAGACGAGGGUGAUUUAGGGGGUAAUGCAAAAAUUAAUAAUAGACUUAUAACCUAAUAAAAUAUAUCAAAAUAUAAAUUAGAAGGGAAUAGUUGAGGUUAAGAUUACCUCCACUUAGGCCAAAAGGAUGGUGAGUGGUAUGGCAGUUUAGUAAAAUUUAUUAGGCUAGAGGGAAUAGGUAGAGAGUAGGAUUAGAGACCCUUGUAUUCUAUUAAAUAAGUUUUAAAUCCAAUAUUAAGAAGGGUUUACCAAGGAACACAAUAUACGAUAGUGGAUAUGAAAAAUAGUUUUUAGGUCUGCUCAGAUUAGCUACUUGGGGAGGUAUGAUGCUUAAAGAGAGGAACCCCAAUUUACCUUACUUCUUUUUCGAACAAGACUCAAAUACUUGUUCGGGUUAAGUUCUUUUUUAGUUAAUAGAACUUUUAUUAAAGCUUCUGAAAGGCCGCUUGGAAUAAACAUAAUCUGUUUAACAGUAAUGGUUAAUUCUUCUGGUAACUUUGAGCAAAUAGAGAAGCGUUAAUCGCACCACGACCUAAGAUAAUUUAUUAAGAGAAAACCUUAGGGACCACAUGAAUUGUGGGGAACAUCUAGGCUUUUUUGAAAUAGAGAUAAGAGAGUACUCUAAAGUAAUCGCCUUUUAGUAGUGAGGCGGUGAAUAAGUUGUCGAGAGGACCAGUUGCUCGUCACUCGCUUCGCCCUUAAGGGGUAGUUGUGAUAAGUCGAAACAAGGUAGAAGCAGGGGAACCUGCCUCUGGGCUUUCCUAAGCUUAUAUAAAAAUUAAAUAA
This is a non-coding RNA of Myxobolus squamalis, 990 nucleotides long. The record is from the annotation of a GenBank genome assembly. NCBI's taxonomy places the organism in Eukaryota, Metazoa, Cnidaria, Myxozoa, Bivalvulida, Myxobolidae.